This 6659-nucleotide long non-coding RNA is filed under the name Zostera marina. RNAcentral describes it as "long non-coding RNA (ZMAR_LNC004468)". Lineage: Eukaryota; Viridiplantae; Streptophyta; Magnoliopsida; Alismatales; Zosteraceae. The record is from RNAcentral.
GACCACCGCUAAGAGUAAGCACCAAUACUAGGACUGUACAAUGGAAAUUAUGGAACGCAUCUUCUCACUCAAUCUCUUCAAAAUACGGUGCUCUGCUGUAUUAUUUGGAAUUUGGAUGCUAUGUGCAGCAUUCGUAUUUCAUAAACGAUCAAUGGUGAGGGGAACUGUUAACAAAGAAGAAGAAAAACUAAAUGCAAUAAGCCAAUAAUAGACAACAUCAUAUAAGAGAAAUAGAGUGAAACUUCAAUCUUAAAAUCUCACCAACAUUAAGAUUUAAGACGAUAAUUAAGGUAAAAACAUCAAGGGCACACAGUUCUACACUAUAUGGUUUCAAUAUGAGAACAGCAAGAUCCAGCUGUUGUCAUGCUGUAUCUUUAAUAGCUUCAUUCUCUAGUUUUUUUCUUCAAUGGAAAUAAGUAAAAAAACAGGGAUUAAAUUACAACACAAACCAGUGGCUACAGGCUCCAAAAACUUCUCUCUUGGAAACACUUAGAAAAGGAGUCUCAUUUGGAAUAUAAGAAUAUCAACAAGUCAUUCCAACUUAGUUGGGUUAUGUCAGAAAUAUAUGAUCAUGUUCAUGGAAGAAGAAAGUUUAUAAUAUAACAGCUGACAUGAAAUGUAUCUAACAAACAAGCAAAUUGGAUUCACAUCUGUUAAGUUUAUGAUCAUAAAUAUUUAUUUAUAAAUAUGAUCAAUGCUUUUUACAGAAGGAAUAUAUGUUAUAAAGAAUACAAAUAUACGAGAUAUGAAAUGUGAUAACAGAUAUGAAAUGUGUUUAGAUGAUGAAAUGACAAUAACUAGGGUGUCAAAUGAACAAAACCGAACUUUUGCAUAUAAACUCGGGUUCGAACUUAGCUAGUUAAAAAAUUGUCUAGCUGUUCGCGGGUUCAAACUUGAAAUUAAAAUAAAAUCUGAAAAAUAAAUAUAUAUAUAUUUACUUUUUAGAUUUUUAUUUUUAUUUAAUUUUUUUUAUAAUUUAUUAAAUAGUUCAUAUCAAUUAAUAUCUAUAACUUUUAAGUUUUAAUAUCUAUAUUUUAUUUAAUUAUUAAAAACACCUUAACGAUUUUAUCGAACCGAGUCCAGCUUUAAAAGCCCAAGCUCGAGCUCGCCUCGUUGGACUCGCGAACCCGUCGAACCGAGUUUUAAAAGUUCAAACUCGAACUCGACUCGUUGGGCUCGCGAGCUCGAGCUAAACGAGCCGAGCCCGUCGAACCGAGCUUUAAAAGUUAAAGCUCAACUGGUUGGGUUCGUGAGCUUGAGUUUAACGAGCGAUCGAGUCCGUCAAGUCGAACUUUAGUUGACACAAGAUUAAAUAAAUGAGAAAUAAACUAUCCUGUCGAGGAGUUGCAUACUGUGAUGGAAUGAUGGAUGAUAUAGUAGAUGACGACUUCACAGUAGAGAGCAACAACGAUGGUGGAAGAUUUACGAAGACAAUAGAUGUUCAGCAACAACGUUAAUGAAUGAUGAUGGAAGAUGAGUGGAUAGCGAAGAGAUGGAGCGAGUGGAGAUUUUGAAUGGAAUCAAAUCGGUGAAAAAAGUGGAGGGAGGUCUGAAUAUAUAAAAGGGUGAGUCCAAGUGGGCCACAUUAUUUUUAGAAUGUACUGUCAGCCCAAUCCAACUAGUAGGAUGUCAAACUCUCACUUGGCUUGUUAAAGAGUUGUCGAGGUUCUAGUUCGGACUUGAGCUCGAGCUCGUCGAGUCUGGUUUGGCAAAGUUCGAACUCGACUCGCUAAGGUAUUGUCUAGGCGACUUUGGCUAAGUUAAAAAAAUAUUAAAAUCUAAAAAAUAUCUAUAUCUUUAUUUAUUUAUUUUUUGAUUUAAGUUUUGAUUUAAUUUUUUUUAUAUAAUUUAUUUAAUAGUCCUUAUCAAUUUAUAUCUAUAACUCUUAAUAUUUAUAUAUUAUUUAAUUAUUAAAAAACCCUUAACGAGUUUGAACUUUAAACUCGAGUUCGGCUCGUAAGCCCGAGCUUAACGAGCCAACCCUGUCGAACUUUAGUUGACACCCUACUAAUUGGUGAGUGAUUGAUUCAACUCUUAAUUAGGGGGAUGAGGUUCAAUGAAAAGGUCAGAAAGUUACUUGAACAAUGGUAUACUAUUGGGAAAGUAAAUAUGUUAAACAAAUAACCAACUACAGUUGGUAGUUACGGUAAUCGAUAGUUAUAAAGAGAACCAUUGUAAAUCCAAAAGAUACACUUGAUUUCAAUUCAAUCAUUCCAGUAACACACACAUGUGAACCCACCUCCGUUUUGUAUUUCCAUCAUGGUAUCAGAGCAUCAAGAAGACGGGUACUCUCCGUCUCAGUUAGAUCCAACUUCCGCUGCGGGAGAUACAUCCAAGAUGAACGGGAAAAGUUCAACAAAGCUUGUCACCAAACAGAUCAAGUGCAUCGUGCUCGAAGAAGAAAAUUUCUUCUGUUAGAGAGCACAAUUCUCGGCGUUGUUGAGAGGCUACCAUCUCCUUGAAUACGUUGAAGGGAAGAUGGAGAUAUCUCCGGACAGCCUCGCCGAACAGCAAGACCAGCUCAUACUGAGCUGGAUCUUGACAUCAGUAUCGCCGUCGAUUCUCCCACAAGUCGCUGUUAUGACGACGUCUGCGGAUGUGUGGAAAUGCCUCAAUGAAAUGUUCUCAUCGGAUUCUGAAACUCGCCUCUUACAUCUCCGCUUUUAACUGCAAAGUAUACAGAAAGGGGAUCUCACCAUGCUCGAUUUCUUGAAGAAUAUAACCAUUGCAAAAGAUAAGCUAGCUGCGGCAGGGGAAGGAUUAAAAGAUUCCCAGGUCAUACUGAUUGCAUUGAGCGGACUAGGGCCCGAUUAUCAACCUUUUGUGACAUCUAUCACAACGAGGUUUGAUAAAUCAAUGACGUUUUCACAGUUCAAAAGACUCUUGCUCGAUCACGAUUUGCAAUACAUGUCCUCGACAACGGUUUCCCGGACUGAAGCCAACGUUGCCAUAAAACAUAAGUCCGAUGAUCGUCGAGACAAGGUGGUGUGCCAAAUUUGCACAAGAAAGGGUCAUGGAGCUAAGGACUGCUAUCAUAGAGUGAAUUUUGCAAAAUACCCGGCGGUAUCACAUUCUCGGCGGUUGAUACUAACAUGACUUAAUGAUCAAUCUAAUCAUCCGGGACCAAUUGCAAAUGUCGCAGUAACAGGACGGGCGUCAACGGUAUGGUAUCCUGAUACAGGGGCAACUGCCCACAUAACUCAUUCAGGUAUAUUACCCAAUAAUUUUGUUGAAUAUACGGGUAGAGAUUCUGUUUUCACAGCUAACGGAGGUACGAUAAAAAUCGAAAAAGUCGGAAAACUCGUAGUCUCGGAUCUAAUUCUAAAAGAAAUCCUACUAGUUCCUGAUUCUUCAAGAAAUUUACUGUCUAUAUCUCGUUUAUGUACUGACAACAAGAUAUAUGUAAAAUUUGACGAACAGAAAGUAAUAAUAGCGGAUAAGGAGACCGAUGAAGUUCUAGCUGAAGGGAAAAUGGAGAAUGGACUAUAUCGGAUGUCUCUAGACGUGAAUAAAGGACAUCAUGCUUUGUCGGCUCAGAAAAUUACGGGAAAGCGUUGGCACGCAAGGUUGGGACACUUGAACGAAAAAUCAAUUCGACAGUUGGUUAACAAAGAUGUAUUACCUAAUGAUACAAUCUGUAAAAAUAUAUCUAACUGUCAUUCAUGUGCUAUACAAAAAUCUCACAAUUUGUCGCGUAAAGAAAGUGAUCGAAGUUACUCACCGUUAGAAUUAAUAUUUUCGGAUAUCUGGGGACCCGCUCCGGUAGAGUCAAUCGGCGGAUAUAGAUAUUACGUGAAUUUUGUUGACGCAGCUACAAAUUUUAAUUGGGUAUAUCCUUUAAUCAAGAAGUCUGAGAUAUCUGGUGUGUUUCUAAAGUUCAAAGAAUGGGUGGAAAAACAAACUAAUUUCAAGAUUAAAUCCAUCCAGACGGAUAACGCCAAAGAAUACAAGGCUCUAACAAAAAUAUUUGAUUAGUUCGGAAUUGAUCACAGAUUCUCUUGUCCGUAUGAUCAUCCUCAGAUGGGUACAGUAGAAAGACGACACCGACAUCUAGUCGACACAGCAUUAACAAUGUUGCAUUUUGCAAAUAUACCCAAGGAAUUUUAGGACUAUGGGAUACUUACCGCAGCCACCCUAUAUAAUAAGAAUCCAACAAGAAUUCUUAAUGGAAUCUCUCCGAUGGAAGCAUUGUAUGGUCGCACACCAGAUUAUGAUAAAUUGCUCACAUUUGGCUGCAAAUGCUACCCAUGUCUACGUCAUCACCGGAGAAAUAAAUUAGAUGAUAAAUCAAUAGCAUGCGUGUUUAUCGGCUACCCGCAACAAAGUGAUGGAUUCUUGUGUUACAACCCAAAUGAAAAGAAAAUAUAUGUCUCCAAGAACGUUAAAUUUCUAGAAGACGACUUCACACUGAAUCAAUGCUUAUGGCCAAACUCCGACGACAAAUCUCAGCUCAGAGAUAGCAACACAGUUGACUCAAACGAUCUUGUGAUUAUAACGAAACCAACAUCCGAGUUGUCAAGCUAUCUAAAUCCGGCUACAACAAACAAAGCCAGCCCAACACCCGUUAUGAAGGAAAGAAUAUAUGCAAACCCGAUUGAGCAAAAUUCAGAUCCAAGAUCCAACAUCCAAAUCGAGUCAAGUCCGAUUGAACAAAGUUCAAGGAAUACUGAACAAAGCAUGACAUCGAACCGAUUUGCGCAAUCUGAAAGCGCAACAUCCGACGACGAGAUCACUGAAUCAGUCAACGAACGGGAACCGGAGGCAAUCGGAGGAUCAAUCGACGAUGGACGGGACGAAGAAACCGGGAAAAGAAUGGCAAAAAGAGCUUCGCAUGGGAUAACGAAGCCCAACCCGAAAUACAGUUUGUUAACAACAACGCAACAAACAGGAAUACCCAAGUCGGCAAAAUCAGCACUACAACACCCGGGGUGGAAAGCCGCAAUGGAGAGUGAGUACAACGCUCUAAUUAAAAAUGAAAUGUGGACACUAAUUCCCAAAACAGAGCACGAUAGGGUGAUAAACACUAAAUAGGUCUUCAAAGUAAAACAUGCAGAAGAUGGGACAAUCCAACGAUUCAAAGCAAGGUGGGUCGCAAACGGUAUGAGGCAGAUUGAGGGUUGCGACUAUAAUCAAACGUUUAGCCCGGUGGUGAAAGCAAACUCAGUCAGAGUUGUGCUCACAGUUGCAAUAACAAGGAAUUGGGUGUUGAAACAAAUCGAUAUUUCAAACGCCUUUUUACACGAAAAGUUAGAUGAAAGAAUAUUAGUAACACAACCAGUUGGAUUCGAAGAUAAGGAACGGCCGGAUCAUGUGUGUUUGCUACAAAGAUCAUUGUACGGCUUAAAACAAUCCCCGAGGAUGUGGUAUCGUAGACUACGGGAGUUUCUGGUUCAAAUAAAGUUCAAAGAAAAUUAUUCCGAUCUAUCAUUAUUCAUCUACGACCACGAAGGUGAACAAAUUUAUCUAUUCACAUACGUAGACGAUAUAGUCAUUACAAGAUCAUCGUCAACGUUGGUGAAAACAGUGAUAAGGAAAUUGGGUUCGGAGUUUGCGAUAAAAGAAUUGGGUGAUCUAAGAUACUUCUUAGGUAUUCACGUUCACAGAAUGGAAGGAAAGAUAACGUUAUCUUAACAACAAUAUCUUCGGAACCUGCUAACAAGUUGCGGGCAUAUGAAGUUGAAACCAUCCACUAGACCGAUGUUAUCCAACGAAAAAUUUCAAAUAAACAACGAUCACUCACCGGAUUUGAGUGAGUACCGACGAAUCAUCGGAUCCCUACAAUAUCUCACGUUGACACGACCCGAUGUGCAAUAUGCCGUAAACAAACUAUCACAAUUCUUGAACACGCCGACCUCCGGUCAUUGGACAGCUCUCAAGAAGCUACUUCGAUAUCUAUCGGGAACUCAAAACUUUGGGAUCACAUUAACUAAGGUGAAAGAUUUCAAUAUAACAUGUUAUUGUGACGUGGAUUGGGGAGGCGACCUCAUCGAUAGGAAGAGUCACACAAGAUACUAAUAUACAUCGACGGAACGUUAGUGUCAUGGUCUUCGAAGAAACAAGCAACUCUCGCAAGAUCCAGCACGGAGGCCGAAUAUAGAGCCAUAGCUACAGCAGUUGAGGAAGCAGAAGGAGUUCGACUGUUAUUGACAGAAUUGGAAGUGAAAAUUGGCUUGCCAACGAAGGUGAAAACCGACAAUCAAGGAGCUGCGUUUAUCGCAAACAAUCCUAUUUGUUACAGCAAAAUGAAACAUGUGGCAAUGGAUUUUCAUUUCAUCCGAGAAAAAUCCGAACAAGGGAUGUUGAAAGUAAGUCAUAUAUCAGGUAAAGAACAACUAGCCGACAUAUUAACAAAGCCAUUAUCGCCAAAGCUGUCCAACGAAGCAAGUAACAAACUAAUCGGACACUGCCCUAUAGUUUGAGGGGGAGUAUUGGGAAAGUAAAUAUGUUAAACAAAUAACCAACUACAGUUGGUAGUUACAGUAAUCGAUAGUUAUAAAGAGAACCAUUGUAAAUCCAAAAGAUAUACUUGAUUUCAAUUCAAUCGUUCCAGUAACACACACUUGUGAACCCACCUCGGUUUUGUAUUUCCAUCAUACACCACAUCAUCAUUUUCGGUAUUAGUCGAAGACGAACCAACGACCAUUUUCAGAAGUAAGCGG